GCACCAUAACGUUGGAUGCCAAUGCCGAUAAACCCCACUGAAGAAGAAGAAUGGGUCUUCCAGGGCAGAAGAGUCGAGCUGCGUGGUUGUUCGCAUGAGGUUCCUUGAUUGGUGAAGCGUGUAGAGUUUAUCCAUAGUUCGGGGAAUGGAAAAUGGCGGAGAGUAGUGCGGACGAAAUUGAGGAAAAGUUGGUGAAGCAACAGCUGUGCUGGAAUGCGAACAAAGUGUCAGUUCUGAUGUCAUGGAGCGGGAGGACGAGGGUCAAGGACCGGAAUGGCCGGUAGUGGAAAGACAUAGGAAGAAGAGAGAUCAUGAUACAGAAAGCAGUGGAGCGUCUAGUAAAGAAAGCAUAAAGAGGACCAAGAAACAUUGCUCAGAUCUUGCCCCCUGGACCUUGGAGGACUUUUGGUGUGGAUGAUGAUCAGGGCCUACCAAAGCAAGUGUAAUUGGGAUGGACGGGGAAGACCGCAUUACAACCCUUCAAGUGCUACGGUUGUAUGAUGGCCUGGAUGAAGAGGAAAAUAUUCUCCUCAAGGAACCAUUCAUGUUGUCGUUACAGAGAGAUUAUGAGAUGUUCUAUGUGGAGGCAGUUGACGACAAGAAAAUUACUGUCUUUGCCCAUUUUGAAGAGCAGGAGUGAAGCAAUUUUAUAGGAGUGUUCAAACCUUAUUUUUGUCUGCUGUGUUAAUUGUGUUCUGUUGUUUAGUAAAGAUGACGUAGAAGUCACCCGAGUCUCUGAACUCUUUACUGGAGCUGGUAUAACUUAAUGUACAAAGCACAUUCAGCUUGUCCAUAUGGUAUAGUCUGUCUCCAUUCUCAUGAGGAAAGUAAAUGGCAUUAUAAAUCAGGAUAGGUAGUAACUGUGUGUGUAUGUGUAUAUAUACAUACACACACACACACACAAUUUUAACACUACAUGACAUGCAUAAGUCUGUUCACUGCAACAAUAUCAGUAGCUUGUCUCAAAUAAGUGUUACAACUCAUGUGCUGGUACCACUUUAUAUAAUAUUGCUUACAAUCUUCAAAAAUGAAAUACGUUUGUAUUCAACAUGUGCCUUGCACAAACAUGUGUGUUUGUCAAAGCUCACACAAAAAACGGUGGGUGGAGUCAACCAUUUGACCCCGCCCACAUUGAGCCUGGCCCCGACUUGCACACAGCAGUCAGGGGUACUUGGCUCUCAGGUAGGCUACUCAACAGAUGGCGCUAAAGAGCAAGUUGUAAUUUACUUGUAAAUAAAUAAUCAUGACAGUCAUUGGGAGCCUGGGACCUAAAUCUGACAACCACAUCAAAUAUUUAUAUCUUUAUCCACAUCCAUAAACAGUCAAAGGACUGAGGGAUACGCUAGAACCGUCUCGCGGAUCUGGUAGGACAAAAAAAAACAUGGCUCUGUGCCCAAUUUGUUUUCCCUGCCAGAUGAGGACUAGAAUGAGAAUGGAGACAGGAUGGAGACAGACUAUACCAUAUAGAC
Molecule: long non-coding RNA, 1469 nt
Filed under: Salmo salar (Atlantic salmon)
Lineage: Eukaryota; Metazoa; Chordata; Actinopteri; Salmoniformes; Salmonidae
Description: lncRNA (ENSSSAG00000115240.1)
Source: RNAcentral